UUUUUUUUUUUUAAUUGAGUGAAAUUAUGUUGUAGACUGUAGAUUAAUUUUGCCAGGGCUAGCUAAAAGGAGUGAGAUCAUUCCAUGAGUCCUUGGAUAUAAUGUCACCUCUAAGCAGGAUAUGGCAGUGCCGAAAAGUCAACCUCAGAGGUCUGCAACUAGACAGGAAUUGCUACUUAAACACUGUACUCCAAAGAGACAUAAAUGUGACUAAAGCAUCCAAUUUGUAGUAAUGUGGGGCUAUCUUGGGGUUUCAAGCUCCUCUAUAACAAAUUUUAUCUUGGACCACAAAACAUUCUAGGCCUAUUUCAUUGGCUUAUCUAGAGCAAGAUUUUAUAGAAGAAAGGGAAAAAUACAUAUAGAAGUCUUGCGUAUAUUUCAAUUUAUUCAAAUAUGUUAUAUUAAUGUACUAAAUAUAAACAUAAAAUGUACUACUAUAAUGUACUAUGGUACUCUAUAACCAUAAUAUAUAAUGAUGUCAAUAUAUUUAGUAAACAAAUAAGGAUAAAAACAAUUGAGAUUGUGUUGGUACACAAAUAUCAGAAGUUAGUUAUCAUUUAUACCACAACUCAUUCUAGAAUAUGAACUGCAUCUGCCUUCCUCACCUACCUAUGUCACCUAGUAACAAAAAUACAACAACAUAAAAAAAAACACAAAGAAAACAAACUGGAAUUCAUCUACUUGUGUUAGCAGUCUCUGAGGGAGUUGCUAUGUUCUAUAACAUAACACAGCAGUUGAUUCAUAAGUGAUCAAGAAAAGUUCAAAUUAUCUACUUUAUAUAAACACAACUAAGAAAUCAAAAGAAGUCUAAUACAACUUAUGACCAUUUCUAUGAAAUUAUUAAGGCAAAACACAGCAAGGGGUCAAUUUCACCUGGAAAAUCCAUUAAUGUAGAACACCUCAUUCUUCAAUGAUGUGUCAUCAUACUUACAUUAUUUCACAUAUUUAAGAUAAGUCAGGGGAAUUCUGAGAGGCUAAGGGAAAUGAUUAGUCUAAGAAAUUCCUGAGAAGAAAUGAGGUUUCAGGUUUUCAAAUUAGGGAAGUAAAAUCCUAAGAGUCCCCUUGAGGUAGAUGUGAAGAGGGCACUUGGGUGUCAUUUACAGAGCUGCCGGUCAACGGAUCUGCCCUUGGAGAGACAGGCAUCUGGGAGAGCUCUGAUGCAUGAGUCUUUCUCCCCUGGUCAGGAACUGGAGACAGGUGAUUGCCCUCAUAACCAAAACACAGCUGACUGUUCCUCAUCAGUGCCACACAGAGCUCUAGUCAUCCAUCAUCACUGCCAUAGAGCCCCAGACCAGAGGAAUGAGUGGAAAGAAAACCAGAGGCCCUGAGAGCAUGUCCUACUUUCUCCACUAGUUACUGCAGGAAAAAGGCAAUUCCACAGCGAAUUCACUAAUUCAUCCAGGUAUUAGAAAAUAGAUCUCAUACUAAUCCCAAAUGGGAAGGAGAAAAAGAAAGGAAUUAACAAUUAUCUAUCAAGUGUGUACACUAUAAUAACAUUUAUAAUAAUGAUUUUGACUGUUCUCAGGUACUUUACAUGGCUCUUUAAACCCAUCAUCUAAUUUAAUCUUUAAAAUAAUCCUACAAGGUAAGUAUUAUUAUAUCUACUGUACAUGUAAGAAAACUGAAAUUUAGAAGGUUAAGAAUUCUUUCCCAAGAUCACAAUGUUAGUAAAACUGGAAAAUUGGGAUUCAAACUGAUUCUGACUGCACUAACCAGUAAUGGUGAGCAUAAAUAGCAAGGUAGAGAUGUGAAUCUCUGGUUUGGGGGUCUCUGGGUUGCUCUCUUUCUCUAACACUUCAGCUAGCACACUAGCUCCACUUUCUACAUCACACACGCAGGAGUCCACGAUUAUUAGAAAGAGAAGGACUCCUUUGAGUUUUGACCCUUUGAGAGGAUUACAGUCCCCAUUGAGAAUUGAAUGAGUACUAUGGUUCUUUACCCCCAGAAAACCAAAGUACUUGUUACUCACUGUAGUUGUAUCCUAUAAAGUCACCAGAGAAACUGAACUAGUGAAUACUCAACCAUCAUGCCUAGGGGAAAUAUAAGGUUAGGUCACCCCGAGCCUCUAGACACAACAUUUUCAACAACCAAUCAAUAUAUAACCUUGUUCUAUGUAUGUUUCUGUUUAAAGAAACCUCAUUUCGAUAUAUAUUGUUGAUUCAUUAACAUUGAACGUGCAGCCAGCAGCAGCACAACUCAUGCCAGAAUGAAGCUCGUCUAACUAACACAUAUUUUCUCUGUAAGGCGCAUAACAGCCUUCUGGUGCUUAGGACUAGACAACACUUUAGCACUAUGCUUGGGGGGCAUUUCAAACAGUGCAAAUCACCGAUAAAAAGCAUAAAAAAGUGAAAAAUGUGGCACCAUACUGACCGUGAAAAAGACACUUGUUUGCAUUAUAAGAGCUCAAAUAAGACAGGAGAGUAUCACCUGGAUGGGCCUCAGCUGGGUGUAUGUGUUGGGCAACUUAGAAUUUUUUGCUGCUCUCUGCAUGUCUCUGAAUCACUACAGAAGUGCUGUGAAUACUGAUUUGGGGCUUACAGAAACUUUUACUGAGUAGGCAAAUUUGCACAUAGAGAACCCAUGGAGGAUGAGCACUGAGCACGUGAAUGUAAGGUUUCUAUUAAGUCCAUAAGCUAUACAGACUGUCCCAUUUAUUGCUUGAUCUAGAUCAACUCACUUUGCACGUAGGUUCCUGAAUAUCGGGAGAACACCGGAGCAUAAAAAUGAGCUAUAGCUUUGAGUAAAAAAGAAAAUGCCAACAAGAUUCCUAAAACAAGUGACCCAUGAAUUUUAGUGAAACUGAUUUUUUAAAUUAAACAAAUAAAUUAAACUUUACUAUUAUUUGAAAGUUCAGGAAAUAUAUAAUGUUUGCUAGCUACUAUAUUAACUCUUUAAAAUCACCAGCAUUACCUUCAGCUAAUUUCUGCUCUACGCUUUAAAAGAUACUUUUGUGCUUAAGAAAAUAAUCUUAGAGAAACUGAACUAGAUUCUGAUUAAUAGUUCAUUUUGAUGAUAAGAGAAAGCAGACAUAACUGAAUGCCUUUAAUUUUGGUCUCCCAAACAAUGCAUUAUUAUACCAGUUAGCUGCACUCUCAACCUAAACAAGUUUGCUGUUGUAAGUCCUAGAAACCUGAUCAUGAGCGCAUACUGACAAAGAACAAUAUAGAAUGGAAAGAUGAAAUCACUCACUCACCCAAGGGGUCUCUAAUCUCAGUAGACGUAGCCAUAAAAUAAUAGGGAGUGGAGACAUAGGCAAAAAAAAAAAAAAAAAAAAA
This 3275-nucleotide long non-coding RNA is filed under the name Canis lupus familiaris (dog). Its description in RNAcentral is "lncRNA (ENSCAFG00000052672.1)". Lineage: Eukaryota; Metazoa; Chordata; Mammalia; Carnivora; Canidae. The record is from RNAcentral.